This is an antisense RNA of 69 nucleotides. It matches the Rfam family "ASpks TB sRNA".
CUUGAUGGAGCCGAGCCACAGCGGCUCGGCCCGGUCGGCGCCGUAGGUCGCCAGCAGCGCCCGCGCCUC